UAGCUAUUCAGGAGGCUGAGGCACAAGAAUUGCUUGAGUCAAUAUUGCACCACUGCACUCCAGCCUGGGCAACAGCGAGACUCUUGUCUCAAAAAAAAAAAAAGAUAUUUGCUGAAAAGACCCAGCCUGCCAAACUCAGGGGCAGCCAAGGGAGGUAGUGAAAUGGAAGUUGGAGCUCAGCGCUCCCUCACCUCCACUGCCCUCAGGCCUUCUCUGCCUCUUUCCCAUCAGUCAGCUGCUUCUGGGCAUGGUCCUGGCAGAGACUUGGCCUCCUUCCAGUUCAAGCUCCCUCUUAGAUUGUGUCCCACGCCACUGAGUCUCUGGGACACUGGGUCAGUUGUCUAGUCUGGCACAAUUGGCAGGAAUCCCAAGAAACAGUGUGAGUGAGGGGACAGUCGUGUUGAGUGCCCUCCAUCUGGGACUGGGAGGCAGGUCUAUGUCAGGCCUGCAUUUAGAUCUCUAAUAGCUCCAGACAAGCCCCUUCAGCUCACUAAGCCUGUUUCCUAACACAGCUGUGGGAUGGUGCUUUGGUUUACAUAGCACGCGAUACCAUCAUAGAUCACAUGGGGAAACUGAGGCCCCAGGAGUGAUCUGCUGGCACAUGCAGUGACAAGAGGAGAGGCCCAUCUCAGCCUUGCAGCAAGGUUGCCAGAAAUCGAUUCUCGCCCCCAUCCCGUAAAGCCUCUCUGCAUCACCUGCUUCCCACAGCAGCAGCCUGGGCCUCCAAAGGGCACAUUCAGAUUUGAGGGAUUUGGGGAGUUUGUGGGCAAGGGCAGACUACUAUGGGCUUUUGGGUGAACCCCAAGGGAAUGCAAAGAAGCCCCCUGCCAUUCUCCAUGAAUGGAGCUGAAUGCCCUAGCCCCCCAUUCUUCCACGUGGGAGUAUCCUCUUGAGAGUCCUGCUGGCUGUUGGUCAAG
Molecule: long non-coding RNA, 917 nt
Filed under: Homo sapiens (human)
Lineage: Eukaryota; Metazoa; Chordata; Mammalia; Primates; Hominidae
Source: RNAcentral